This is a long non-coding RNA of Paramisgurnus dabryanus, 673 nucleotides long. RefSeq lists it as uncharacterized. NCBI's taxonomy places the organism in Eukaryota, Metazoa, Chordata, Actinopteri, Cypriniformes, Cobitidae. The record is from RefSeq and is a predicted model, not a curated record.
UAUAUAAUUAUAAUAUAACAUUUAUAUCUCAAAAUAUUCUAUUAAAAAACAGAUUUGUAAUAAUUCACAAGCUCUGACACCCCAUUAGUUUCCCAACCCUGGAAGCACACUAACAGCACAGAUUCACAUGAAAAACAUAGUGUUGUAGUGUGUCCCUGCAGGGUUCGUCAAACUUGCAAUUCUCAUAGCAAUGGUUGUUCAUAGCUGUAAAAUCACUCACUGUUCUGGAGUGCCAUGAAGAGAGAUUAUGUGUCUUACCCGAAACAUCACAUUGUGUCCAUUCUCCGUUGGUCUGAAGCAGAUAUCUAAAAAAAAGCAGAAAAUGUGUUGAAAUCUUGAAUAAAACAUCUUCAUCAAGGACAUUGAUACUCUCUGCACCCUUACAUCAUCUCUGCACCAUACUGAAAAACAUCUUCAGCAGAAUCUGCUCCAUGACCGCACACUCGAUGUGUGCAUGACCGGACACUAUGGAUCAAGAAGACAUUCAAUCUCUCUUCUCGGGCAGUUGUGGCCUAAUGGUUAAAGAGUCAGACUUGUGACUCGUUGCCAGUUUGAGGCUGAAUGCCAGCAGGUUGUGACUGAAAUCUCACAAAAAAACAAAAAAAUCUGUAAAAACAAAAAAAAAACGUAAAAACAAAAAAAACAGUAAAAAAAAACACAUUAAAAUUAACUA